Oncorhynchus tshawytscha (Chinook salmon) is the source of this 2805-nucleotide long non-coding RNA. The record is from Ensembl. NCBI's taxonomy places the organism in Eukaryota, Metazoa, Chordata, Actinopteri, Salmoniformes, Salmonidae.
UAAGAUAGUGCUACUGUUUGAACAGAACUACCUAUUAUAUACCUGUCCCUACCUUUCUAUGUUUCUAUCUACUACAGAAGUAGGAUUCUAAUUUGAGCCAGUUUGCUACAGCAGGAAAAUAAUUCUGCAGCAACAGGAAAUGUGAUUUAUUAUGUGGAUUAUAAUUAAUGGACAGUUUUGUAGGGGUUGAUAGAUUUUCGUAAGGGAAAAUCAAGUCUGAAAUUUCACAGUGGAAAUUACAAACUUCCGAAGCCUUUUAAAACCUCAAAUACACUAUAAGUGAAAAGUUCUCCUGCAACAGGGGGAUCAAAUAAAGAUCCUACAUCUGUACUACACCACUUCAUUUGCCACCGUUAGAGAACUUCUACUCCACAUACCUGUAUAUCAUAUUAUGUGGCUCAGUUGGUACAGUAGAGCAUGGCGCUUGCAAUGCCAGGGUUGUGGGUUUGAUUCCCACGGGGGACCAGCAUGGAGAAAACAAAUAAUGAAAUGUAGGAAUUCAUUAACUGUAAGUCGCUCUGGAUAAGAGUGUCUGCUAAGUGACUCAAAUGUAAAUAUUAUAUUCUUAAUUGUGUCACCACCAACAACAAGACUAGUUACUAUAUCUUCUACCAUCUUACUACAACACUUUGAUCACAGUCUAAAUAACUGUUGUUUAUGCUGUGCUUAAUUCUUGCUCUCUGAUUGGACAGUUUACUCAGAAGAAUAAUGAGAUGACCCAAGAGACCAAUGAGAUGUACAGAACCACAGGGAGGACCAUUGUCACCCAGAUGUCCUCGUCAGGAGAGGGAGGGUUCUCAGGAGGGGGAACAUUCCAGAGAAUGGGCGAGGCCAACGGAACUCUGAGAAGCCAGGGUGGGCGGGGCAUGUACCAGACUACAAGCAGGAACAAUACCAUGAGGAGUAACUCUUCGAGGUAUUCCCGUUCCUUCGGCUUGCUGUCAAACCAGCACAUCUCAGAGCACAUAGACCGGAAGCUGCAUAUGAUUGGAGACGAGGUGGACUACCAACCCUACGGGUAUGGCUACGAGGGGACAGGCAGCAAGUGCCAGUCACUGGACGAGCUGUCGCUAAACAAUCUAGAUGACAACCUGGAGUUCCUGGGGGACCUGGGGUCAAAGUUCAACACCUUGGGGGGCAUCUGUCGGCAGGACAUGCAGGAGAGGAACAUCAGGCUGUAGACACGCACACACAUGAACACAAACACAAACACACACAACUGGCUGGACUGGGACUGAGAUGGUUCUAACGUAACUGCUCUACAACACUGAUAGGGUGAGAGCCAUCAGCUGGAGAAGAGGACACACCAAACAUCGUCCAUUGAGAUUCUGGAUCAUGCUUUGCGUCAUAUACGACAGAGGGGAAAAAAUACCGACCAAAACCAAGCUGGAUUGGCUUUUACCCACACAAGGAGGGACUGGGAGAGACACUUUCGAUAUUUUGGAUGUCUGAAGACACAAUGAAUCACUGCACUGAAUAAACCACAUCAUGCUCGAAUGGAUUUAUGUUUUGACCGGGCCGGGGUGUGUUUGUAUGGUGAUUGUUUUGCAGUGGUGUAAAGUAAGUACUUGAGCAUAAAUACUUUAUAGUACUUUUUGACAACUUUUAUUUUUACUCCAAUACAUUACAAAAGAAAAUAACUCAUUACAUUUUGUACUCAUUACAUUUUGAAUGCUUGGCAGGACAGGAACAUUUUCCAAUUCACACAAUUGUCAAGAGAACAUCCCUGGUCAUCGAUAGGGUCUUUAAUCUGGCAACCUCACUAAACACAAAUGCUUUGUUUGUAAAUAAUGUCUGAGUGUUGGAGUGUACCCCUGGCUAUCCGUACAUUUUACUGGGUGACUUUCACGUUUACUUGAGUACUUUUUUAUUAAGGUAUCUUUACUUUUGCUCAAGUAUUACAAUUGGGUACUUUCCCACCACUGUUGUUUUGUUGUUUAAUGUGUUUUUUAUCAUCACGCUUCACAGUACUUUUCAGCAGCAGCUUAUCAUCUCUUGAUCUACGAGCUAAGCCAGAAUGGGAUAACUUCGAUGCCAACACUUGAAUGGAAACGUCAACAUCACCUCUGUGGGAGUUUUACUAUUGUGCGAAUGAUAAUUCAUAACCUCUCUCUGUUUAGGAUAAUGAUUUACACAUGUUGCUUUCAACUAAUUUCUUGACCUCGAUGGAGUAGAAUCCAACACGAUAUAUCUGGUAGUAUAGAAUUGGGACACAGCAGAUUCAGGAGAACAAUUGAUAGCUAUAUUGGAAUCAUCACCUAUCUGCAGAAAAGUGACAAUGCCUAACCAUGGCUAAUCUGAGAGCCUGGAACCAGUGUGUGCUCUGUCCUCACCAAACCUUUAAGAGCAAUCAAAGCUGUGCUGUUGUGUAUCCUAAACAUAACGUAAAGGUUCACUGUAUAAUACUAGACUUGGUUUCCUUCACUUUUGCGCACUGGUCUUUUUUUUCUUUUUGACUUGCUUCUCUUUUACUCCCUGCUAACGUCCACUAUGCCGCUUUUGUAUCAGUAGUCAAUAUAUCAAUGUUUUUGUUUAUAUUUCAAAUUUGAUUAAAGUAUGCGCGUCAUGGAAAUGUGUCUCCGUAUCUCUCAGCCAUACCUCACAACAAACACGAUUAUGAUCCUAAACGGUUUUCAAGGUUAGUCACACUAAACAUGACAUGAAAUCACUUCAAUGACAUGGAUUCCUUGGAACACCCCCUUGUGUUCUCCGUAAAACUGACGCACCCACUAUAACAAUUCAUGUGAAUAGGAGAAGGUCAUUUUUUUGUGUAGUCCUGGCACUAAUUUGCCCACUCUUUUGCAG